Molecule: ribosomal RNA, 225 nt
Filed under: Symbiodinium sp. clade D
Lineage: Eukaryota; Dinophyceae; Suessiales; Symbiodiniaceae
Description: partial Eukaryotic large subunit ribosomal RNA
Rfam family: Eukaryotic large subunit ribosomal RNA
Source: RNAcentral
UUCCAUUCGACCCGUCUUGGAACACGGACCAAGGAGUAGACCAGGCAUGCAAGUGAUAGGGUGGAAAAACCCGAUCGCGCAGGGAAACCGAGUUUAAGCUGUCGUUCCACGACAGCAGCGCACCCGGCGUCUCCGACAACGGGCUGCAGCAAGAGCAUGCAUGUUCUGACCCGAAAGAUGGUGAACUACGCUUGAGUAAGCUGAAGCCAGGGGAAACUCUGGUGG